RNAcentral lists this ribosomal RNA (492 nucleotides) under uncultured bacterium. Its description in RNAcentral is "partial 16S ribosomal RNA". It matches the Rfam family "Bacterial small subunit ribosomal RNA", at positions 29 to 507 of the family's 1533-position model. The record is from RNAcentral.
AGUGAACGCUGGCGGUAGGCCUAACACAUGCAAGUCGAACGGCAGCACAGUAAGAGCUUGCUCUUACGGGUGGCGAGUGGCGGACGGGUGCGGAAUACAUCGGAAUCUACUUUUUCGUGGGGGAUAACGUAGGGAAACUUACGCUAAUACCGCAUACGACCUACGGGCGAAAGCAGGGGAUCUUCGGACCUUGCACGAUUGAAUGAGCCGAUGUCGGAUUAGCUAGUUGGCGGGGUAAAGGCCCACCAAGGCGACGAUCCGUAGCUGGUCUGAGAGGAUGAUCAGCCACACUGGAACUGAGACACGGUCCAGACUCCUACGGGAGGCAGCAGUGGGGAAUAUUGGACAAUGGGCGCAAGCCUGAUCCAGCCAUACCGCGUGGGUGAAGAAGGCCUUCGGGUUGUAAAGCCCUUUUGUUGGGAAAGAAAAGCAGCAGGUUAAUACCCCGCUGUUCUGACGGUACCCAAAGAAUAAGCACCGGCUAACUUCGUG